CUUGGAGGUUGUGGCCUUGAGCCGUGGCUUUCGGAGCUAACGCGUUAAGUAGACCGCCUGGGGAGUACGGUCGCAAGAUUAAAACUCAAAUGAAUUGACGGGGGCCCGCACAAGCGGUGGAGCAUGUGGUUUAAUUCGAUGCAACGCGAAGAACCUUACCUACUCUUGACAUCCAGAGAACUUUCCAGAGAUGGAUUGGUGCCUUCGGGAACUCUGAGACAGGUGCUGCAUGGCUGUCGUCAGCUCGUGUCGUGAGAUGUU
RNAcentral lists this ribosomal RNA (261 nucleotides) under Vibrio sp. s4a2. RNAcentral describes it as "partial 16S ribosomal RNA". It matches the Rfam family "Bacterial small subunit ribosomal RNA", at positions 816 to 1076 of the family's 1533-position model. The record is from RNAcentral. Lineage: Bacteria; Pseudomonadati; Pseudomonadota; Gammaproteobacteria; Vibrionales; Vibrionaceae.